This 211-nucleotide unclassified non-coding RNA is filed under the name plant metagenome. Its description in RNAcentral is "partial contains small subunit ribosomal RNA, internal transcribed spacer 1, and 5.8S ribosomal RNA". The record is from RNAcentral.
UUUCCGUAGGUGAACCUGCGGAAGGAUCAUUCAUAAUAAAGUGUUUUAUGGCACUUUUUAAAAAUCCAUAUCCACCUUGUGUGCAAUGUUAGAUCUCGUCAAUCUUGGCGAGAUUUUUAUACAUCAACUCAUUAUUUAACUAAUUUGUCUGAAAAAUAUUAUGAAUACUUAAUUCAAAAUACAACUUUCAACAACGGAUCUCUUGGCUCUC